RNAcentral lists this ribosomal RNA (253 nucleotides) under uncultured bacterium. RNAcentral describes it as "partial 16S ribosomal RNA". It matches the Rfam family "Bacterial small subunit ribosomal RNA", at positions 524 to 776 of the family's 1533-position model. The record is from RNAcentral.
UACGGAGGGUGCAAGCGUUAUCCGGAUUCACUGGGUUUAAAGGGUGCGUAGGUGGGUUGGUAAGUCAGUGGUGAAAUCUCCGUGCUUAACAUGGAAACUGCCAGUGAUACUACUGGUCUUGAAUCUUCUGGAGGUUAGCGGAAUAUGUCAUGUAGCGGUGAAAUGCUUAGAUAUGACAUAGAACACCAAUUGCGAAGGCAGCUAACUACAGGGGUAUUGACACUGAGGCACGAAAGCGUGGGGAUCAAACAGG